UCGAUCCUUCCGUCCCA
Molecule: transfer RNA, 17 nt
Filed under: Grevillea infecunda
Lineage: Eukaryota; Viridiplantae; Streptophyta; Magnoliopsida; Proteales; Proteaceae
Description: partial tRNA-Gln
Source: RNAcentral